Molecule: long non-coding RNA, 724 nt
Organism: Carassius gibelio (silver crucian carp)
Lineage: Eukaryota; Metazoa; Chordata; Actinopteri; Cypriniformes; Cyprinidae
Exons: 4
Source: RefSeq, a predicted model, not a curated record
UGAAGGGAGAUACUGACUUAGAAAUACAGGUGAACUCAUGAAAAGAAGCUCAUGAAAUACUCAUGAAAGAAGCUCAUGAAAUACAUUAAUAUGCCUUUUUCAGAAUAUAUUUCACCAAUUUUAAGAAGUCCCUGACAUCAAAACAUGGCUUAUUUUGUUCCUGGACUCUUCAGUGAUGUUGAGCAGAGUCUGAGUGAACCUGCUGUCAGACAGGUUGGGCCGAUAGACGAUUCCAUCGUCCAUCGCCGAUGGCUGAUAGACAUCACGAUGCUGCGCCGGCAAACAGCGUCAUGAGCUCCAGUAUCUCGUGCGUGCAUCCGUUGUCAUGCAACAGAGAAGUUGCGUCUGUGGACAGUUGUGAACGCGCUGACAGCUGGUUGCCCAGGCUUUGGGUUAAAGGAGCCACCGGUAUUUGGUCCUGUUGUUUUUUUCUCAAAAACCGGCAGCCGCUGACUUGCAUUUAAGAAUCACCAAGGGCAACGGUUUCACCUAAAACACCUUUACUGUUCUACUGCAAAAACCUUGGAUGACCUGAGGGUGAGUAAAUUAACAGCAAAUUUUCAUUUUGGGGUGAACCAUCCCUUUAAAUGCAGAGUAAAUUUCCCUACAUGCUCAGUAAAAGUAAUCAGCCAAUACACUGGUGACGGGAAUGACGACGCCCAAAGCAGCAGAACUGUACAAAUGCUGGACAUCCACACACCGCACCACAGUAUUAUCAACUAGC